Molecule: ribosomal RNA, 253 nt
Filed under: uncultured bacterium
Lineage: Bacteria
Description: partial 16S ribosomal RNA
Rfam family: Bacterial small subunit ribosomal RNA
Source: RNAcentral
UACGGAGGGUGCAAGCGUUAUCCGGAUUCACUGGGUUUAAAGGGCUCGUAGGCGGCCAACUAAGUCAGACGUGAAAUCCCUCGGCUUAACCGGGGAACUGCGUCUGAUACUGGAUGGCUUGAGGUUGGGAGAGGGAUGCGGAAUUCCAGGUGUAGCGGUGAAAUGCGUAGAUAUCUGGAGGAACACCGGUGGCGAAGGCGGCAUCCUGGACCAAUUCUGACGCUGAGGAGCGAAAGCCAGGGGAGCAAACGGG